RNAcentral lists this transfer RNA (77 nucleotides) under Candidatus Eiseniibacteriota bacterium. RNAcentral describes it as "tRNA-Gly". It matches the Rfam family "tRNA". From Rfam's summary of the family: Transfer RNA (tRNA) molecules are approximately 80 nucleotides in length. Their secondary structure includes four short double-helical elements and three loops (D, anti-codon, and T loops). Further hydrogen bonds mediate the characteristic L-shaped molecular structure. tRNAs have two regions of fundamental functional importance: the anti-codon, which is responsible for specific mRNA codon recognition, and the 3' end, to which the tRNAs corresponding amino acid is attached (by aminoacyl-tRNA synthetases). tRNAs cope with the degeneracy of the genetic code in two manners: having more than one tRNA (with a specific anti-codon) for a particular amino acid; and 'wobble' base-pairing, i.e. permitting non-standard base-pairing at the 3rd anti-codon position. The record is from RNAcentral. Lineage: Bacteria; Candidatus Eiseniibacteriota. RNAcentral also lists the same sequence under 1 other name.
GCGGAAGUAGCUCAGCCCGGUAGAGCGCCACCUUGCCAAGGUGGAUGUCGGGGGUUCAAAUCCCCUCUUCCGCUCCA